AGUCGAGUCGGGUAGCUUGGGAAUGCUGCUCUAAUUGGUGGUAAAUCUCAUCAAAGGCUAAAUAACGGUGGGAGACCGAUAGUAAACAAGUACCGUGAGGGAAAGAUGACAAGCACUUUGAAAAGAGGGUGAAAAGAACCUGAAACCGUUACGGGGGAAGCGGAUUGCGUUGGAUUGAUGGGUGUUUGUGUGUUCAGCCAUGAACUUUGUUCUAGGUGCAUUGAUGCAGAUACUUAUCCGUCGUGGGUUUCUUGGCAACCGAUUUUGGGUUGCUAGAGGCUGAGGGCUCCCCUUUUUGGGUUGAGGACGGCGGAGUGACGACGCGAUACGACCCGUCUUGAAACACGGACCAAGGAGUCUAGCGCGGGUGCGAGUCGGAGGGUUUUAAAACCUGUGGGCGAAGUGAAAGCGAGUUUUGAUUCUAAAACUAGCAGUUUGAGGCGGCAUAGAAUCGUUGAUUCUAGGUCUGACCUGGAGCAGUUGCGCUGGGACCCGAAAGAUGGUGAACUAUGCCGGAGUAGGGCAAAGCCAGAAGAAAUUCUGGUGGAGGCUCGUAGCGGUGCUGACGUGCAAAUCGCUCGUCAAACUUGGGUAUAGGGGCGAAAGACUAAUCGAACCAUCUAGUAGCUGGUUCCCUCCGAAGUUUCUCUCAGGAUAGCGGGCCGACACGAGUUGUUUUGUGCGGUAAAGCGAAUGAUUAGCGCACUCGGGGACUAUAAGUCUUCGGGCGAUUCUCAAACUUUCAAUGCGCAAGGGUACCGGUGCUUAAUUGAGCGGUACCGAUAAAAACGUCGGCCCUGUGGGCCACUUUUGGUAAGC
Molecule: ribosomal RNA, 819 nt
Filed under: Plocamium cartilagineum
Lineage: Eukaryota; Rhodophyta; Florideophyceae; Plocamiales; Plocamiaceae
Description: eukaryotic LSU rRNA
Rfam family: Eukaryotic large subunit ribosomal RNA
Source: RNAcentral